This is a non-coding RNA of Castor canadensis (American beaver), 350 nucleotides long. The record is from RefSeq and is a predicted model, not a curated record. Lineage: Eukaryota; Metazoa; Chordata; Mammalia; Rodentia; Castoridae.
UUUAUUUUAAUCUUUGGAACAAAAAAUGUCCUUUUGGGCUGAUACCAGUACUUUUUGUAUGCCAAGUUACUGACCAGAGUCUAUUUUUAUAGGUCAAGAUAGAAACCUCUGAAAACCAGAGUUUAUAACGGAAACAUUUACAGGCCCUUAACUAUCACAGAGUACAUGGCAAUAUUGAAAUCACAAGGUACAAGCCAUAAGAUUUCACAUGUAGUUACUUUUGGUGACACUAUCCGGUUUCCACAAUGUAUCAUUCCUUAUCUGAAACUAGUCAUCCUCUUCAGCCAGAAGAACAAGAAGUAGGCAUUGACCCCUUGUCCAGUUACUCGAACAAGUCUGGAGGUGAGUUC